RNAcentral lists this ribosomal RNA (452 nucleotides) under Streptococcus mitis. RNAcentral's name for it is "bacterial SSU rRNA". It matches the Rfam family "Bacterial small subunit ribosomal RNA", at positions 28 to 467 of the family's 1533-position model. The record is from RNAcentral. Lineage: Bacteria; Bacillati; Bacillota; Bacilli; Lactobacillales; Streptococcaceae.
GACGAACGCGGGCGGCGUGCUUAAUACAUGCAAGUAGAACGCUGAAGGAGGAGCUUGCUUCUCUGGUGAGUUGCGAACGGGUGAGUAACGCGUAGGUAACCUGCCUGGUAGCGGGGGAUAACUAUUGGAAACGAUAGCUAAUACCGCAUAAGAGUAGAUGUUGCAUGACAUUUGCUUAAAAGGUGCAAUUGCAUCACUACCAGAUGGACCUGCGUUGUAUUAGCUAGUUGGUGAGGUAACGGCUCACCAAGGCAACGAUACAUAGCCGACCUGAGAGGGUGAUCGGCCACACUGGGACUGAGACACGGCCCAGACUCCUACGGGAGGCAGCAGUAGGGAAUCUUCGGCAAUGGACGGAAGUCUGACCGAGCAACGCCGCGUGAGUGAAGAAGGUUUUCGGAUCGUAAAGCUCUGUUGUAAGAGAAGAACGAGUGUGAGAGUGGAAAGUUCAC